CGGGGGGGCAAGCGUUGUUCGGAAUUACUGGGCGUAAAGGGCGCGUAGGCGGCCGACUAAGUCGGAUGUGAAAUCCCCAGGCUCAACUUGGGAACUGCAUCCGAUACUGGACGGCUUGAAUCCGGGAGAGGGAUGCAGAAUUCCAGGUGUAGCGGUGAAAUGCGUAGAUAUCUGGAGGAAUACCGGUGGCGAAGGCGGCAUCCUGGACCGGCAUUGACGCUGAUGUGCGAAAGCUAGGGGAGCAAACGGGAUUAGAUACCCCGGUAGUCCUAGCCCUAAACGAUGAAUGCUUGGUGUGACGGGUAUCGAUCCCUGUCGUGCCGAAGCUAACGCAUUAAGCAUUCCGCCUGGGGAGUACGGUCGCAAGGCUG
This 371-nucleotide ribosomal RNA is filed under the name uncultured organism. RNAcentral's name for it is "bacterial SSU rRNA". It matches the Rfam family "Bacterial small subunit ribosomal RNA", at positions 527 to 896 of the family's 1533-position model. The record is from RNAcentral.